AUGUUUCCUAAUACUAAUGUUUUUAAUUUACCAAUCAUUCAUUCGCUGAGUGAUCAUGCACCUAUUCUGAUAUCCACUGAUUCUCAGUUUCGUAGGCCUAAACUACACUUUAAAUUUGAAAAUUGGUGGACUUUUGAGGAAGAUUUCCAGGGCAUUGCUAAAAAUGUUUGGGACUCCUCGGUUAAUAGACCAUUCGAUGUCAGAACCAAUAACCUUGCAGGGACUUUGAAAAGGUGGUGCAAAAAGAAAAAACCUUUACAGCAUCAACUUGAUUGUAUUCAGGAUCAGAUCAAUGAGAUUCAAAUGAAGCCGGUGCAUCUCCAAGACUAUUCCCUUCAGGCAAGCCUAGUUGCCCAAUAUGAAGGCCCAGUUUGGAUACUACUUUGCCGCAAGAUACAAACGACUUCACCUACUCGAUCCCUGAUAAACAUGAGAUAUGGAAAAUUCUCAAAGGCGUGA
RNAcentral lists this ribosomal RNA (459 nucleotides) under Triticum aestivum (bread wheat). Its description in RNAcentral is "partial small subunit ribosomal RNA". Lineage: Eukaryota; Viridiplantae; Streptophyta; Magnoliopsida; Poales; Poaceae. The record is from RNAcentral.